GACCGCGUAGCUCAGUUGGCAGAGCAUUGGGCUAGUAUUUCAAAGAUCGUAGGUUCGAUUCCUACCGUGGCCA
Non-coding RNA from Paramuricea clavata, 73 nucleotides. NCBI's taxonomy places the organism in Eukaryota, Metazoa, Cnidaria, Anthozoa, Malacalcyonacea, Plexauridae. The record is from the annotation of a GenBank genome assembly.